GACGAACGCUGGCGGCGUGCUUAACACAUGCCAGUCGAACGGAAAGGCCCUGCUUUUGUGGGGUGCUCGAGUGGCGAACGGGUGAGUAACACGUGUGUAACCUCCCCUUGACUUUGGGAUAUCUUCAGGAAACUGGGGCUAAUACCGGAUAGGAGCUCCUGCUGCACGGUGGGGGUUGGAAAGUUACGGCGGUUGGGGAUGGACUCGCUGCUUAUCAGCUUGUUUGUGUGGUAGUGGCUUACCAAGGCUUUGACAGAUAGCCGGCCUGAGAGGGUGACCGGCCACAUGAGGCCUACGAUACGCCCCAGAAUCCUACGUGAGGCAGCAGACGGAAAUAUUACACAAUGGGCGCAAGCCUGAUGUAACAACCCCGGGUGCGGGAUGACGGCCUUCGGGUUGUAAACCACUUUCGCCUGUACCGAAGCCUGAGUGACGGUACUGGGUAAGAAAGCAACGGCUAACUACGUG
Molecule: ribosomal RNA, 468 nt
Filed under: uncultured bacterium
Lineage: Bacteria
Description: partial 16S ribosomal RNA
Rfam family: Bacterial small subunit ribosomal RNA
Source: RNAcentral